AACCCCGGUUGAUCCUGCCGGACCCGACUGCUAUCGGGGUGAGACUAAGCCAUGCGAGUCUGCCCCCUCAGCCAUGGGAGGGGGCGGCGCACGGCUCAGUAACACGUGGCUAACCUACCCUCAGGACGGGGAUAACCCCGGGAAACUGGGGAUAAUCCCCGAUAGGUGAGGGAUCCUGGAAUGGUCCCUCGCCGAAAGGGCUCUCGGACCAUGCUUCCGAGAGCCGCCUGAGGAUGGGGCUGCGGCCUAUCAGGUAGUUGGUGGGGUAACGGCCCACCAAGCCGAUAACGGGUACGGGCCCUGAGAGGGGGAGCCCGGAGAUGGGCACUGAGACAAGGGCCCAGGCCCUACGGGGCGCAGCAGGCGCGAAA
Molecule: ribosomal RNA, 371 nt
Rfam family: Archaeal small subunit ribosomal RNA